This 495-nucleotide ribosomal RNA is filed under the name uncultured bacterium. RNAcentral's name for it is "partial 16S ribosomal RNA". It matches the Rfam family "Bacterial small subunit ribosomal RNA", at positions 28 to 507 of the family's 1533-position model. The record is from RNAcentral.
GAUGAACGCUGGCGGCGUGCCUAAUACAUGCAAGUCGAACGCUGAAGGAGGAGCUUGCUCUUCUGGAUGAGUUGCGAACGGGUGAGUAACGCGUAGGUAACCUGCCUGGUAGCGGGGGAUAACUAUUGGAAACGAUAGCUAAUACCGCAUGACAACAGUUAUUGCAUGAUAACUGUUUAAAAGGGGCAACUGCUCCACUACCAGAUGGACCUGCGUUGUAUUAGCUAGUUGGUGAGGUAACGGCUCACCAAGGCGACGAUACAUAGCCGACCUGAGAGGGUGAUCGGCCACACUGGGACUGAGACACGGCCCAGACUCCUACGGGAGGCAGCAGUAGGGAAUCUUCGGCAAUGGACGGAAGUCUGACCGAGCAACGCCGCGUGAGUGAAGAAGGUUUUCGGAUCGUAAAGCUCUGUUGCAAGAGAAGAACGAGUGUGAGAGUGGAAAGUUCACACUGUGACGGUAUCUUACCAGAAAGGGACGGCUAACUACGUG